This 82-nucleotide transfer RNA is filed under the name Actinoplanes utahensis. RNAcentral's name for it is "tRNA-Pro". The record is from RNAcentral. Lineage: Bacteria; Bacillati; Actinomycetota; Actinomycetes; Micromonosporales; Micromonosporaceae.
CGCGGCCCGUGGCGGGCUGGCCAACAUGGCCGGUUCGGUGCUGGCCGGCGGCGCCGGGGUGAUCGUCACCUGGGUCGUGGCC